Molecule: ribosomal RNA, 117 nt
Filed under: Danio rerio (zebrafish)
Lineage: Eukaryota; Metazoa; Chordata; Actinopteri; Cypriniformes; Danionidae
Source: RNAcentral
UGCCACAGCCAUAUCACCCUGCAGCCCAAGACCGGUUACUCACUGAAGCUAAGCAGGGCUGAACCUGGUUAGUACCUGGAUGGGAGACCACUAGGGAACACUAGGUUGCUGCUGGAA